CAGCCGCCGCGGGAAUACGUAGGUCCCGAGCGUUGUCCGGAUUUAUUGGGCGUAAAGCGAGCGCAGGCGGUUAGAUAAGUCUGAAGUUAAAGGCUGUGGCUUAACCAUAGUACGCUUUGGAAACUGUUUAACUUGAGUGCAAGAGGGGAGAGUGGAAUUCCAUGUGUAGCGGUGAAAUGCGUAGAUAUAUGGAGGAACACCGGUGGCGAAAGCGGCUCUCUGGCUUGUAACUGACGCUGAGGCUCGAAAGCGUGGGGAGCAAACAGGAUUAGAUACCCCGGUAGUCCCUGUCUCUUAUACC
This 301-nucleotide ribosomal RNA is filed under the name uncultured bacterium. Its description in RNAcentral is "partial 16S ribosomal RNA". It matches the Rfam family "Bacterial small subunit ribosomal RNA", at positions 509 to 808 of the family's 1533-position model. The record is from RNAcentral.